UACGGGGGGGGCAAGCGUUGUUCGGAAUUACUGGGCGUAAAGGGUUUGUAGGUGGCUUGUUAAGUCAGACGUGAAAUCCCUCAGCUUAACUGGGGAACUGCGUCUGAUACUGGCGAGCUUGAGUGCAGGAGAGGAACGCGGAAUUCCAGGUGUAGCGGUGAAAUGCUUAGAUAUGACAUAGAACACCCAUUGCGAAGGCAGCUCGCUACACUAUUAUUGACGCUGAGGCACGAAAGCGUGGGGAUCAAACAGG
Molecule: ribosomal RNA, 253 nt
Filed under: uncultured bacterium
Lineage: Bacteria
Description: partial 16S ribosomal RNA
Rfam family: Bacterial small subunit ribosomal RNA
Source: RNAcentral